CAGCCGCCACGGUAAUACGUAGGUGGCAAGCGUUGUCCGGAAUUAUUGGGCGUAAAGGGCUCGCAGGCGGUUUCUUAAGUCUGAUGUGAAAGCCCCCGGCUCAACCGGGGAGGGUCAUUGGAAACUGGGAAACUUGAGUGCAGAAGAGGAGAGUGGAAUUCCACGUGUAGCGGUGAAAUGCGUAGAGAUGUGGAGGAACACCAGUGGCGAAGGCGACUCUCUGGUCUGUAACUGGCGCUGAGGAGCGAAAGCGUGGGGAGCGAACAGGAUUAGAUACCCGCGUAGUCCCUGUCUCUUAUAC
Molecule: ribosomal RNA, 301 nt
Filed under: uncultured bacterium
Lineage: Bacteria
Description: partial 16S ribosomal RNA
Rfam family: Bacterial small subunit ribosomal RNA
Source: RNAcentral